This 506-nucleotide ribosomal RNA is filed under the name uncultured bacterium. Its description in RNAcentral is "partial 16S ribosomal RNA". It matches the Rfam family "Bacterial small subunit ribosomal RNA", at positions 29 to 523 of the family's 1533-position model. The record is from RNAcentral.
AUUGAACGCUGGCGGCAGGCCUAACACAUGCAAGUCGAACGGUAGCACAGAGGAGCUUGCUCCUUGGGUGAUGAGUGGCGGACGGGUGAGUAAUGUCUGGGAAACUGCCAGAUGGAGGGGGAUAACUACUGGAAACGGUAGCUAAUACCGCAUAACGUCGCAAGACCAAAGAGGGGGACCUUCGGGCCUCUUGCCAUCGGAUGUGCCCAGACGGGAUGAGCUAGGAGGUGGGGUAACGGCUCACCUAGGCGACGAUCCCUAGCUGGUCUGAGAGGAUGAGCAGCCACACUGGAACUGAGACACGGUCCGGAAUACUACGGGAGGGAGCAGUGGGGAAUAUUGCACAAGGGGCGCAAGCCUGAUGCAGCCAUGCCGCGUGUAUGAAGAAGGCCUUCGGGUUGUAAAGUACUUUCAGCGAGGAGUAAGGCAUUAAGGUUAAUAACCUUAGUGAUUGACGUUACUCGCAGAAGAAGCACCGGCUAACUCCGUGCCAGCCGCCGCAGUAA